UACGUAGGUGGCGAGCGUUAUCCGGAAUCAUUGGGCGUAAAGAGGGAGCAGGCGGCAGUGCAGGUCUGCGGUGAAAGCCCGAAGCUAAACUUCGGUAAGCCGUGGAUACCGCACAGCUAGAGAGCAUCAGAGGAUCGCGGAAUUCCAUGUGUAGCGGUGAAAUGCGUAGAUAUAUGGAGGAACACCAGUGGCGAAGGCGGCGGUCUGGGGUGCAGCUGACGCUCAGUCCCGAAAGCGUGGGGAGCAAAUAGG
Molecule: ribosomal RNA, 252 nt
Filed under: uncultured bacterium
Lineage: Bacteria
Description: partial 16S ribosomal RNA
Rfam family: Bacterial small subunit ribosomal RNA
Source: RNAcentral